This is a long non-coding RNA of Zea mays, 631 nucleotides long. RefSeq lists it as uncharacterized. The transcript is spliced from 2 exons. The record is from RefSeq and is a predicted model, not a curated record. NCBI's taxonomy places the organism in Eukaryota, Viridiplantae, Streptophyta, Magnoliopsida, Poales, Poaceae.
AUACUGCUUGCCGACGUGGCAGCCACGGUGGACCGCAUUACAUACAUAAUUACUCGUUUCUUCCCCAUGGAAGAACCGUAGCCUCCUCUGUUCAAAUCGAUUCCCUAGCAGCUCUGCCCCCUCCCCUAGAUCUAACCCGCAUCGCACCCAUUAAUGGAACAUCCACCUCCAUAUGUGACCGAUGCAGUACAAGAAAGGUGAUUGCACUCAGGGCCAAGACAAGCGGAAACUAUGGACGGUACUUCUACAUCUGCCCGACAUACAAGCGUGAUGGUAGUGGUUGUGACUUCUGGUACUAGGAAGAUGACUAUGAGCAAUAUUUGAUGGAGAAUGGCCAUGUUCUACAUAAUCAUCUACCAAUAUUCAGCCAAGCAGAGAAGAUGAUUACUGGUGAAGCUGAUGUUUUAGGAAGUUGUGGAAUGAAGAGGGAAGAUAGAAAAGCAGAUGGCCUGAUGGUUCAAAAGCUAGAUUUAGUAGUAGGGUUACUUAGUUAAGAUUGUUGUGCCACUAAAAAUAAUAUCAGUCUUAUGUGUGUGCAUUUUUCUGAUUAAUCUAUAUGUAAGGAUUGUUUGAUGUGAGUUAUGGUGGUAAUGAAUGAAAAGAGUACUCAGAUUCAUUAAGCAUUUGUAAA